AGUGAACGCUGGCGGUAGGCCUAACACAUGCAAGUCGAACGGCAGCACAGUAAGAGCUUGCUCUUACGGGUGGCGAGUGGCGGACGGGUGAGGAAUACAUCGGAAUCUACUUUUUCGUGGGGGAUAACGUAGGGAAACUUACGCUAAUACCGCAUACGACCUACGGGUGAAAGCAGGGGGUCUUCGGACCUUGCGCGAUUGAAUGAGCCGAUGUCGGAUUAGCUAGUUGGCGGGGUAAAGGCCCACCAAGGCGACGAUCCGUAGCUGGUCUGAGAGGAUGAUCAGCCACACUGGAACUGAGACACGGUCCAGACUCCUACGGGGGGCAGCAGUGGGGAAUAUUGGACAAUGGGCGCAAGCCUGAUCCAGCCAUACCGCGUGGGUGAAGAAGGCCUUCGGGUUGUAAAGCCCUUUUGUUGGGAAAGAAAAGCAGCAGGUUAAUACCCCGCUGUCCUGACGGUACCCAAAGAAUAAGCACCGGCUAACUUCGUG
This 492-nucleotide ribosomal RNA is filed under the name uncultured bacterium. Its description in RNAcentral is "partial 16S ribosomal RNA". It matches the Rfam family "Bacterial small subunit ribosomal RNA", at positions 29 to 507 of the family's 1533-position model. The record is from RNAcentral.